AGCAGCCCAGCUGUUCCAGGUGUCUGUCACCAGGCGCGGCAGGGCCCUGAUGAGGGGCAGGGAUGUACUAACUGCCUCCAAUUUCCUUCCCUUGUAGAAGGCAUUAGUCUUCUGAAUAAGGUUAAAAUCUCUCAAAGAACCUUAAAAGAUCUGGUGCCUAACUCAGCAUCCCCACUGACUUCCACUGACGACCACUAGUCCAAGCCCAGGGAUGAGUCGGAAGCUGGGACAGGAGAAAGCUUGGUGGACCUCCCUUUCCAGCCACUGAGGUACUUCACGCCUCUUAGAAAGAUGAGGGUAUCGCGUGUACUUUAGCUCCACACGGAGCUGUGCCUCUCAGGGACACAGCUACUGCUCAGUACUGUGCUGGCUCAGACUCCUGGCCACACCACGCCUCCUCUGUGGACAGGGACCAGCGGUGAACAGGGCUGCGUGGACCUGAGUUAGCACCGGGCAGCCCAAGGCUGAGAGCCGGAGCAAAGCGAAAGCCUUCUGCCUUCACACUGCAGAAGGCCCCAACACCAAUACUGGCUGAGCACUUCAACUAGAAGCAUCAGGACAGGCAACGCCAUUAGGACUUAAGUUCUUAAACAGAUGAUGAGUAGAAGCUCUGAGAGGUUAAGAGGCCUGGCAAGAUCACACAGCCAGAAAAUAAGCCAGAGUAAGAGGCUAGAAGUGUACUGUGAGACUCAAGCAAGACAAUAAAUUGGAGGAUUCUGGAUCCACUGCUGGAAUCUGUCUGAACAACAUUAACACAAGAAGGCCUUUUCAGAGUGAAGGUGACGUUGAGCGACCCUGAGAUGCAGUGGACAGCUGCUCGCACCUUCUCACGCUAAACAGGAGCUGCACCUAAGCCAAUCCACCAUCUGUCCCCAGCCACAUGGGGAAGGGGCUUCCUGGGGGGGGGGGAUGCACAUUACAUGCCUUCUAGAAAGCUGAUUGUCACAUGUUCCUAUUCCUGUUUCUCAUUCAUUUCCACAUCCUCCUCACUCCCCAGCCCUAACUCCCAGGCCGCUGCUGCCCCUUUCUUACUGCUAGGUCCUCACUCACUCCUGGGACCUUAUCUC
RNAcentral lists this long non-coding RNA (1067 nucleotides) under Heterocephalus glaber (naked mole-rat). RNAcentral's name for it is "lncRNA (ENSHGLG00000034909.1)". The record is from RNAcentral. Lineage: Eukaryota; Metazoa; Chordata; Mammalia; Rodentia; Bathyergidae.